UUGUUGGAUUUGAAGACUUCUACUUACAUACAUGGAGAAUUUGAAGACUUCAACCUGCAUAUUUUGAGGAUUUUAAGACUGCAAUU
This 86-nucleotide microRNA precursor is filed under the name Solanum tuberosum (potato). Its description in RNAcentral is "MIR8024 microRNA precursor family". It matches the Rfam family "MIR8024 microRNA precursor family". Lineage: Eukaryota; Viridiplantae; Streptophyta; Magnoliopsida; Solanales; Solanaceae. The record is from Rfam by way of RNAcentral.